Molecule: ribosomal RNA, 250 nt
Filed under: uncultured bacterium
Lineage: Bacteria
Description: partial 16S ribosomal RNA
Rfam family: Bacterial small subunit ribosomal RNA
Source: RNAcentral
GACGAAGGAUGCAAGCGUUAUCCGGAUUCAUUGGGUUUAAAGGGAGCGUAGGUGGUCUUCUAAGUCAGUGGUGAAAUCUCUCGGCUUAACCGAGAAAUUGCCAUUGAUACUGGGAGACUUGAGUAUAGUUGCCGUUGGCGGAAUAUGACAUGUAGUGGUGAAAUACAUAGAGAUGUCAUAGAACACCGAUUGCGAAGGCAGCUAACGAAACUAUAACUGACACUGAGGCUCGAAAGUGCGGGGAUCAAAC